This 283-nucleotide transfer-messenger RNA is filed under the name Spirochaetae bacterium HGW-Spirochaetae-7. RNAcentral describes it as "partial transfer-messenger RNA". It matches the Rfam family "transfer-messenger RNA", at positions 82 to 374 of the family's 374-position model. From Rfam's summary of the family: Bacterial tmRNA, also known as 10Sa RNA or SsrA, is named for its dual tRNA and mRNA-like properties. Its role is to liberate the mRNA from a stalled ribosome. The record is from RNAcentral. Lineage: Bacteria; Pseudomonadati; Spirochaetota.
ACUUUCAAUUGCCAACAACAACGGCAAUCUCGCUCUCGCCGCGUAAGCGCCGAUAGCGACGGACCCCGCGGUGCCCCGCCUUGAGCGCCGCGUACGGUCUGCAACCCGACCAAGGCUUACCCCCCGCCACGCCCGCGGGACGGGGGGGACACCAAGCGGGAUACGGAGGCGAAAGCGCGGCGGCCCGCCGCCCGCCCCCCGACAACUUGAAUGGCCGCCUAAACCUGUAGAAGCCUACCUUCCGCGUUGCAGGACGCGGGUUCGACUCCCGCCACCUCCAAAA